Molecule: non-coding RNA, 692 nt
Organism: Python bivittatus (Burmese python)
Lineage: Eukaryota; Metazoa; Chordata; Lepidosauria; Squamata; Pythonidae
Source: the annotation of a RefSeq genome assembly
CCCACUCCUCUUCAAAGCUCAAGAUGGCCUGGCCGUUGGUCUUCCUUGCCUGUCUCACUUACUGCUCAGGAGUCAAUUCACAGCCACCAUGGAUUCAGCCAGCCUCCCUGUCUGUGUCUCUGGGAGAAACAGCAAACAUCUCCUGCACGGUCAGUGGACGUGUGAAUAAUAUUUAUUGGUACCAGCAAAAAACUGGGCAGGUCCCUCGCUAUGUGCAGUAUUCUGCUGGAGGCCGGGGUGCCGGGUUCCCAGAUCGAUUCACGGCUUCUGUGUCUGGGAACAUUGGAUAUUUAGCCAUCAGCGACAGCCAGGCAGAAGACGAGGCUGACUAUUACUGUGCGAUGUGGCAGAGCAGUGCCAGUUCGUUGCACAGUGGCAUCAACUCCCAACCAACUUUGACCCAACCUCCAUACAUGUCAGUGUCCCAGGGGCAAACAAUUAAACUCUCCUGUACUGUCAGCAGCGACCAAAAUACCAUAUACUGGUAUCAACAGAAGGUUGGACAGAGCCCCCGUUAUGUACAUUACUCUGGUGGGAGCAGAGGAGAAGGGAUCCCAGAUCGGUACACGGCUUCUGUCUCUGGGAACAUUGGUUAUUUAACCAUCACCGACAGCCAGGCAGUAGACGAGGCUGUUUACUACUGUGAUAUGUGGUAUAGCAGUGGUAGAAUGUUUCACAGUGGUGCAGAGUGA